This is a long non-coding RNA of Pseudopipra pipra, 622 nucleotides long. RefSeq lists it as uncharacterized. NCBI's taxonomy places the organism in Eukaryota, Metazoa, Chordata, Aves, Passeriformes, Pipridae. The transcript is spliced from 2 exons. The record is from RefSeq and is a predicted model, not a curated record.
AAAAUCACCCCCAGCCCUCGCAGGGCAGAAAGGCAGAGCCCUCAGACCGUGUGGCAGCAACACCACACUGGCACCACACCCAGGCACUUCUGCUCACAGCCCUGCCCCUGGCACGGCCAGAGCAGCGUCAGGGAUGUGCUGGCCCCGAGUCCUCAAGCCCUGGUUUUGCCCAUCUUCACCCACUUGGUGCCCUGUCCCUGCUAUGACACGGGACAGGGACUUCAUGUGGACCUGCAGAGUUCACCUCUAUAACAGUUUAGCCACGGCACUGAGCAACACUGUAGUGGGUCCCCAAAGCUUCAAAAACCUCUCUGGAAUAAGUCCCCAAAACCACCUAGAGUUUUCCAGGUUCUAAGGAUGGAAGGUCCUCAAGGAACUGAGAGGAUGAGAGGCAUCCACUGCCCAGUUUGGGAGCCUCUGGGACACUCUCAGCUCUCCCAAGGAUCCUGCUUGCACAGCUCUACACGUGACAGAGACCCCAAGGAAACCAAGGACUAGCACCAAAACACACCCUGUGCUCCUGUGUCACAUGGGGGAGACAGCAAGGGGAAGCCCAGAAACGUGGUGGGCAGCAGCUACAACCUGCUCAAAAAAAACCAAAAUAAAAUCUUUGUUGCCAAAA